AAACGUGCAAUCAGUUGCCUUCAGGACUGGUGGCUCUCUUGAUCGCCAGGGUUGAUUCGGCUGAUCUGGCUGGCUAGGUGGGUGUCCCCUUCCUCCCUCACCGCUCCAUGUGCAUCCCUCCCGAAGCUGCGCGUUCGGUCGAAGAGGAAGACCUUCCCCGAUAGAGGAGGACCGUUCUUCGGUCAAGGGUGUACGAGUAGCUGCGCUCCCCUGCUAGAACCUCCAAACGAGCUCUCAGGACUGGUGGCUCUCAGAGCCUGGAGGGUCCCCGGUGUCU
This is an unclassified non-coding RNA of Ursus americanus (American black bear), 277 nucleotides long. Its record names the gene 7SK. It matches the Rfam family "7SK RNA". Rfam says of the family: 7SK was discovered as an abundant small nuclear RNA in the mid-70s but a possible function has only recently been suggested. Two independent studies have found that 7SK RNA binds the CDK9/cyclin T complex (known as elongation factor P-TEFb). The record is from Ensembl. Lineage: Eukaryota; Metazoa; Chordata; Mammalia; Carnivora; Ursidae.